Brienomyrus brachyistius is the source of this 81-nucleotide small nucleolar RNA. RefSeq annotates it as small nucleolar RNA SNORD103/SNORD85. The record is from RefSeq and is a predicted model, not a curated record. The transcript has a single exon. Lineage: Eukaryota; Metazoa; Chordata; Actinopteri; Osteoglossiformes; Mormyridae.
CCUGGUAUUGAUGACACACUUGCCCUCACUGAGAGCUUCGCUCGCUUAUGAGAACUACUUGUACUCAAACUCUGAACUGGG